Molecule: long non-coding RNA, 223 nt
Organism: Humulus lupulus (European hop)
Lineage: Eukaryota; Viridiplantae; Streptophyta; Magnoliopsida; Rosales; Cannabaceae
Exons: 3
Source: RefSeq, a predicted model, not a curated record
AUAGGCUCAUAAUACCGAGCCAGAAGAUGAACCUCCAACAAAAAGACGACUUUCAUCAGCCUUUGUCAAGAGAUCUUUCAAACAACUUUACUGGUUCAAGACCUCAAGAACUUAGUUUCAGAACUUGCUUUCAUUGUCUUUGUUCUCUAAUUAUUGACUCUUAUUUUCACAAGAGAUUUGAACACAACAAUAUAUCAAGUGAUAUUGCUCAACUUCCUUAGCC